UCUUUCCUCUUCUUUGCUCCAUUGAAGCACCAACUUUCUUCUUCUAUUUUUUUUUCUCUAAGAAGAUGGCUGAUUUUGGGAACAAUCUCUUAAAAAAUAUAAUACGAACUAUUGUUAUGGCUCCAGUAUAUACUACAGCUGGUUAUAUUGCAUACAGAACUGGACGUUGAUCUAAAGAGAUCCGACAUUGGGGAGGACAAAAGGGUUUUGAUCAACCACCUAAAUCGCGCCCCUUCUGGGCCUGGUGGUGAUUGCUUAUUUUCGGUAAUAUAAUGCAAAUCUAUUUGCAUCAAGAUUUGAAUUAUCUAGAUUCGAGUUCGAAAUUUUAUUACAAUUUAGUGAAUUUGUUGGAUUUAAAAUCUUUAAUAUAUAGUUAUUAACUGAUUUUUAGUCAGCUAAACAAAUUGAAUUCACAAAAGUCUACAUUGCGUAUGCUACACCCACCCUAAUGUGUUGUCCCAAAUGAGAUAUUUUCCCUUCAACAAAGAUUUGGAAUUACUAACAUUA
Molecule: long non-coding RNA, 507 nt
Organism: Solanum dulcamara
Lineage: Eukaryota; Viridiplantae; Streptophyta; Magnoliopsida; Solanales; Solanaceae
Exons: 3
Source: RefSeq, a predicted model, not a curated record